GAAGCAAGGUUGGACUUUGUCAAAUUUUAAGCUUCGAGGAAGGCAGAGGAGACAGUCGCCAAUUUUACUUUUUUGGCUAGGCUCCUCACGGCCAGACCUUUCCUCCUUAAACAGAAUUCGGAUUUUGGAACAAAGGAGAGCCGAUCACUCGACUUGUUCAACCAAAUAGGAUUUUAGACCUUUAGUCUCCUCUCUUGUUCUGUGUGGACCAAGCAUGAUCUGAAGAGCCAUCGUGCGCUGGCCCGCCUGAGGGUAAUAGAAGGCAUACGAGUGCACGUCAGCUCCUCACAGAGGAUAAAGAACACGGGUUGCUUUUUGUCCACGAAAGAUUUUUUUUUUCCCCGGGUGUAAAAAAGAAGAAAGAUAUUGAUGUUGUUUUCCAUCACCCGCCAAGAGCAAAGGAAGACGACAAGGGGAGAGAGAACAAAGAAAGAGAAGAUGAAAGGCAAAUCGAACGCGUGGUGCCAUGACAUGUCGAGUUCCAGGAUCGAUACCCACAUUCCCAAGAGCGCAUUCCGCAUGCACCCCCACACACACACACCAUAACCACCACUACCGUGUCACUCACUCAACCACUCUAUUAACAGCAAAAUAUAUAUAUUUUUUUAAAUUUGUGUACUGGGUGAGCAAAAACAAGACAAAAUUUGCGGUGAUGACGUCAACCUAGAAUUUUGCAAGGAACAAAACAAAAGCACCUUUCAAUUCGAGCUACGACUUGCAUGGAGUGAUCGCUGAGUUGAAACGUCUUUUGGCAGUGAGGACGUCAAGUUGCUCUUGAAAAACCCAUUCAGAAAGCACUUGUCACUCGCCUUAUGUGGUGAAAAAACGAGAGAGUGUGGCCACAUGCUGGAUCCAAAUAAAAAAAAAAAGUUUUGGCGUCACAGCAGAAGUCCGUAUCGAGGCCGAGGCCGCCAAGGCCACUGAGCCAAUGCCUCGGUCCGAGGCUUCACUCAUCAAUCGCUGUUAGACUUUGCGCCGGCUAAAUUGGACUUCUGCGCUUCACCAAAAACAUCUGAUGACCUAUGGGCCUCUAUGCGCCCACACGCGUCCAGCAAAUUUAGAGCCCGUCGCUUCGUGAGACGCUCCGACUGAGUAGAUGGCAGAGACAAAAGCACAGAUGUGAGAAACGUUCCCGAAUGGUGAAGGUGUUAAGUGGCGCUAGCUGCCGUGUGUUUUCUGAGAAGAUGAAAGAGGGCGCAAAAAAGGAAAAGUCGAAGAGAAGCAAAUAAAAGAGGAGGCGGUGGAGGAGGUGGAUGAGGAGGAGGAGGAAGAGGAGGCAGAGGAGGAGGACAAGGAAAGGCCAUGCUGAGAAGCAAACAUACGAUACCCCACGCUCAGAGUUCUCCACGUGUGAAUCUCUCUAUCGGAGCAGGAAGGGCAAGAAGGCAGGUGUUGGUGGGACGGGAAGGGGCAGAGCCAAAACCAGGAAGCAGGAUGGUGGGAAUCAUAAAAGGGCGACAGUGAGAGAGCACAAUCAGAGAGGUUUUUUUCUUCUUCCCCCAAAAGGCAAAGAAAAAGACAAAUACUGCCAACUGUUGCAGACGACUUUUUGCUCACAUCUGUACAUAAAAAGGCAAUGAUCGUUCAUCCAUGCUAACACCUGCUCGUUGGCUAAGAGCGCUUUGCCUGAUGUGGGCACGACAUUAGCAUUGACCCUGCUUAGAAUGCCAGUUGUGGGAGCAUCUUCAGAUGCCACGUUUCUGCUUGUUGACUUAAAAAACGCACCGUUUCUGCAUGUUUCUCCUAUCGGUGCUUUCGGGCGCUUUUCAGGGCUGUCUACUAAAAGAAAAGCUCCUCGGGUGGGAAAGGUUUAAAUAACAAGCCUUUUCCAUCAGAGAGCAUGCGUGCUAUCAAUCAUGUUGUUCCGUUUGCCUCUAUUAUUUAGAGACGGGGGUCUUGGGGCCAUCGGGCGCUGCUUCCCGGACUCCCUGAGGGCCCACCUGCUUGCCAGAACAUCACAUUCCCAUUAAGGCGUCUUUAUUAGCGACGUCCGCCGCCUUCUCCAGGGGAAUCAAAGUCAUCCUGAAAGAUUCAUUGCACACUUGGCCGCACUCAGAACUCAUGGGCUCCUAGAGUCUUGCGAGACACACACAUUUGCAAUGAAUGAAUUAUGGAUAGAGCCAAUGAGAGGCUCAAAUGAGGGUUGAGGGAUUCUAGCCCCCGUGGAAUUGCUUUGGAAAAUUCAGGUUUGUGCCAUGAAAUUUGGUGAACGUGUCUAUUAGGAGUAAAGCCACCCAAAGAAAAGAAAUGCAGUCAAUUGGCCUCGAAGCAGGCAGGUCAUGCCCGAUUGCUCUCGUUCAUCCAACCGAAUGGACCGCCCCCACCCAAAUAAACACAAUGCCAAAGCCAGCAACAUGAAAUUGGCUUGACAAAAUGAAAAAGGUCAACACAUUGGAAAAGUACGUCAUUGAGUUUGGAAGCAGACAUUGCAGGCUGCAUUGGCUCAGUUGCACCCAACAGGAUGUCAAAAAAAGACAAAUUGGGAGGCGUAUCUAUCAUGAAUCGACUGACAAGAAUGAUAGUCUGCCGUUUUGCUUUCAAGUGGCCACAUUGUUUACAUUGUUUGUGGUCGGCACAUGCUUUUCAUCUGGAAAUGUGCUACCUACUCUGCUUUCCCCAAACUUGUGCUCAUUAAGAGAGUUGACAGCAAACUGACACGUGGCAAAGUGGUGCUACGACGCCGCCACUGAUUGCAUUAGCAUAGUGGUCGGAUGCUCGACAAUCACCCGUCUGGAACGUUGCGAGGCGAGGGGCCACUUGGGCUCCGUCUUGCGCUUUUUCAUGCCGACAAAAAAAAAAUCUCACGUUGGCCAAAUAGCGGCGCAGCGUUGAGGUCUGCAAUGGGGAAAAAAAACACAGCAAAGCAAUCAGCCAGCACAAACUGCUGCUUGUUUGCUGGUAAUAAUAGUCAGAAUGCUUGAGAAAAAAUAGUGAGCGAGCGAUAGAGUGAGAGAGAGAGAGGCCCACCGUAGUUUAGCCGUGAUAACGCCAAGAGACGUGUUUUGAGGGCUAUUUUUUUUAUUCAUUCUUAUUUCAUCCCUUUUUAAUCACAAUAAAAAAAUCGAGCUAACACAGUCUGGGUUGCGUCUAGGAUUUUUAACUUGUGCGUAGCGCAGUGCUUCUCAAUUAUUUAUUUUCUGCUUUGCCCUUCAGGAAGGAAGAAUAAAAUAUUUCACCCCCCCAA
Molecule: long non-coding RNA, 3184 nt
Organism: Syngnathus typhle (broad-nosed pipefish)
Lineage: Eukaryota; Metazoa; Chordata; Actinopteri; Syngnathiformes; Syngnathidae
Exons: 3
Source: RefSeq, a predicted model, not a curated record